RNAcentral lists this ribosomal RNA (427 nucleotides) under uncultured bacterium. Its description in RNAcentral is "bacterial SSU rRNA". It matches the Rfam family "Bacterial small subunit ribosomal RNA", at positions 355 to 773 of the family's 1533-position model. The record is from RNAcentral.
UGGGGAAUUGUUCGCAAUGGGCGCAAGCCUGACGACGCAACGCUGCGUGGAGGAUGAAGAUCUUCGGGUCGUGAACUCCUUUCGAUCGAGAAGAAUGCCUCCGGGGUUAAUACUCCUGGAGGGUGACGGUGUCGAGAGAAGAAGCCCCGGCUAACUCUGUGCCAGCAGCCGCGGUAAUACAGGGGGGGCAAGCGUUGUUCGGAAUUACUGGGCGUAAAGGGCCAGUAGGCGGCCAACUAAGUCACACGUGAAAUCCCCAGGCUUAACCUGGGAACUGCGUGUGAUACUGGAUGGCUUGAAUUCGGGAGAGGGAUGCAGAAUUCCAGGUGUAGCGGUGAAAUGCGUAGAUAUCUGGAGGAAUACCGGUGGCGAAGGCGGCAUCCUGGACCGAGAUUGACGCUGAACGGCGAAAGCUAGGGGAGCAAAC